AGAAUAUUGGUCAAUAGCCUAACGGCUGAACCAGUGAUUUGGAUGAAUGAAAGGUGCGAACCAUACGUGAUCAAAAAAAUUAAGAUUACGGUAGUAACUACGUUACAUAAAAUUCUAGGUAAGUUUUUGAUUAUGACAUAAUUUAUCUAAGAGUCUUGACCAAGUCUCGUGCCAGCAGUCGCGGUAACACGGGGAAGACCAGUGUUAUUCAUAUUUACCAGGUUUAAAGGGUACCUAGACAGUUAAUCAAGCCUAAAUAAGGGACUAAUUAAACUAGAGUUUGAUAGAAGAAGGCUAGAAAGGUGAGUGUAGAGAUAAAAUAUGUUGAUACCACUUGGAAACUGGCAAGGGCGAAAGCAACCUUUUAUGUAAAAACUGACGUUAAGGGACGAAGGCUCAGCGUAAAAAACAGGAUUAGAUACCCCAGUAUUGAGAGCAGACAAUUAUGAGUGUCAUAUAUAAGUAUAAUAUUUAUGUAUAAAUGAAAGUGUAAGCACUCCACCUUAAGAGUAACAUGGCAACAUAGGAACUGAAAUCAUUAGACCGUUUCUGAAACCAGUAGUGAAGUAUGUUGUUUAAUUAGAUAAUCCACAAAGAACCUUACCGCGAUUUGAAUAUAAGUUUACAGGAGUUGCACGGCUGUCUUCAGUUGAUAUCGUGAGAUUUUGGUUAAUUCCAUUGAAUCAACGUAAACCCUAACUUUAUUUUUUAUAUAAAGUAUUAAGGCUGAGUGUUAUUAUUUAGCCAAAGUAAUUGGGACUAAGACAAGUCAUCAUGACCUAAAUAUCGCGGGC
Molecule: ribosomal RNA, 794 nt
Filed under: Porina sp. E. Baloch CR511-F1100
Lineage: Eukaryota; Fungi; Ascomycota; Lecanoromycetes; Ostropales; Porinaceae
Description: SSU rRNA
Rfam family: Bacterial small subunit ribosomal RNA
Source: RNAcentral